This 1877-nucleotide unclassified non-coding RNA is filed under the name Hevea brasiliensis (rubber tree). Lineage: Eukaryota; Viridiplantae; Streptophyta; Magnoliopsida; Malpighiales; Euphorbiaceae. The record is from RNAcentral.
AUUUGAUGCAAAUUACAUUUAAAAGGAAUUGUUGUGUCAUUAAAUGAGAAAAGCAGUGCAACAUCCAAAAGAUGCUCUACAAAGUCACAAAACAAUGUAGCACAAUGGAACUUGGUCUAUGAAACAAAGAAAACUGUAAACUCUACUACAACAAGGAACCCUCAAGAUAUGUGAUUCUUCCUAUGCAAAAAUUGUGCACGUCUCUCUCUAAGAACGACCCCCUCUGUUAAGAUUAACCAUGCGACCUGAACCAUCCAUCUGGCUUCCCCUGGAAGUUGUACCACUCUGAUAUCUUGAGCCUUGACCCCCAAGAGUCCCUCGUGCCUGAUUAGUACGGUCCCUCGAUGUUUGACCAGAAGUUGAUCUACUACCGGCAUACCCUGUUCGGCCACCACUACUACCUUGCCUGCCUUGUGAGAAGGAGAAGUCCUGCCAUCUACCACCAGCUGCAGCAGCAUAAUCCUGGCCAUCCCUGCGCCUUGGUGGAAGGCCCUCCAAACCUCCACCAAUCCUGGACUCCAUAGCUCUUUCAUUAGUUUCUGAUAGAAUUGCCAGCUUCUCUGUCAACUGGAAUGCCAAGCCCUGCAAUCUUGUAUGCGCAACAUCAUGGAAGACUACACAGCGAGUUGGUUGAUCCCAGUUUGCAUGAAGCUCCUCACUGAUGAUCAUUUUGCUCACAAUGCUAUGAACUUGUUUAUCAGAAAGGUCAAACAUCCCUGCAAGCUGAUCCAAGCUCAGAGAAUUGUAAGUAGAAGAAUAUGUAAAAAGGUAGGUCCUCAAGGCCUCUUCCUUGAUUUUGGCUCUAACCAUCUCAAGAACACUCUCUUUGUUCUUAAAAAGCCUCCACAUAUCAAGGGACUUGAUAACAUCAAAGGCCUUCAGGAAAUCUCCCUGCUUGAGGGCUCUUGUGGCAGCCAUUACAUGGUCCCUAACAUUUUCAGGUGGGCCAGUGAAAGUUUGUCUCUCACUAAUUUCAAGCAAUCUCUGGAAGUUCUUGCUUAUGACCUUGCGCCUUGUGUCAUGACUAUUGGUUGCCAUGUUUGGUACCUCUAGCAGCAUGGCACAUAUCAGAUGGACAGCCUCAAGAAGCUCAAGAUUUAUAUGCAUAUGAUAAGGCAUCUGACGUCUUCGUUCUAUCCUUUCCUGUUCCGGGGUCUUCUCAUGAUAUCUGCUUUGGGAAACACCUUGUGCAAGUAAUUCCUUCACCCUGCCAGCAGAAUAAAGUUCAGAAAGGCAACCCUGUGCUUCUGUAAUGAGUCCCGCCCUGAAUGCACAGAGACCAAGCUGAGCCAUGGCUCUGUUAAAAAGUAUCUGAGUUGAAAUGUCCAUGUGCUGGAUAUUAUCCUGCAAGUGACUCAUUAACAACAAGUCACGGGAUACUGAAAACUCAUCGAAGAGAGCAUGAUUGUAUAUGUCACAGAGCAUAGCACGUGCCUUGGUCCGCUCAUCCCCAUGUUUGUAAAUGAGCGAAACAAGGACGUCCAUCAAUGACCUGCUGUCCUCUUCAAAGGAAGGCUUCCUGGGCACAAGCUCAGGAGUCGGAACAAAUGCUAGUGGGCCUUUACUCUCCUCAGCCACCUUGUUCUCGUCAGCAGACUCCCCCUCUCCUUCUCCUUCUGCUAGUUCAGCUAACUUCCUCAUAGCAUCAUACACCUCUGGUGGUUUAUAAUAAAUGAACUCAACCUGUUUAAGAGCCACUUUCGCAGCAGCCCUAGAGUCCCCCACGCGAACUAAAUAAUCUUGGACAUUUUGAGCAAGAACCAAGAACAAUGGCUCGUCCCUCAGCCUCUCAACAUAUUCACGAGUGUGGGGAUCAAUAACCUGCAAGCUCUUAAAAAAUUCAAUAUCUAUCUUUUCAACAAAGGCUACCAAGUUCC